AAAAAGACAAACCCUAGGUUUCCGUGUCCAACGUUUGACCGUCCGUCUUAUUUGAAAAAAUUAUAAAAAAUUUAAAAAAGACAAGUCACGCAUAAAGUAUUAAUCAUGUUUUAUCAUCUAACAACAAUGAAAAUACUAAUUAUAAAAAAAUUUCAUAUAAGACGGACAGUCAAACGUUGGACACGGAAACCCAGGGUUUGUUUUUUU
This 207-nucleotide microRNA precursor is filed under the name Oryza glumipatula. RNAcentral's name for it is "MIR812 microRNA precursor family". It matches the Rfam family "MIR812 microRNA precursor family". The record is from Rfam by way of RNAcentral. Lineage: Eukaryota; Viridiplantae; Streptophyta; Magnoliopsida; Poales; Poaceae.